AAUAACAUAGUCUUGACGGGGUCUAGUAAUUUAUUAUAGUUGCUCGAGAGAGAAUUACGGCACCUAAAGUGCUCAUGAUCAGUAUAGAAUACAUUGGCGAAAUUGUAGGGAACAUAGCUAGAAGGAUUCCGACAAUUGGGGAAAUCAUAACUCUGGACCUCCUUAAUUUAGUCUUCAACCCUUAGUCUAGUUAAUUGAUAAUUUUACCGUUUUCUAGUAAUUGCUAGUUAAUUAGUUAGAAAUAUAAAUCUCAAUAUUUAUGACUUAGAAAAUUGUUCAAUCUUGUCUUCUCAGCGAUAUUAAACAGAUACAGCUAAGCCUUAGUUAUCUGCGUCGAAUCUUGGAAAAACAAUUUCAUAUGGAGAUAGGGACCUUGAGCCAUUUAAGAAGUUAUGACUGUCAUGUUUUCAUGGAUACUUUAGUGCCUAUUGCAUUUUGUGGUUUGAUACUCUUUAGAUGCAAGUGAUUUAACUCAAAUCCAAUAAGAGGUACAAGAGUAGACAAUCAAUACAACAUGAUUGAGGUUAAUCAUAUGAGGGGGUAUGAUCGUUAUGAUCCUUUCAUAAUUUCACAUAAUUUUAGGCAAGUGUCUUAUUCUCCUUAUACACUACGGCGGAAUAAGUCCAAUUGGUGGAUUGUAAUAAAAACUAAGGCUGUAGGUAGGGUGG
This 668-nucleotide long non-coding RNA is filed under the name Nicotiana benthamiana. RNAcentral's name for it is "long non-coding RNA (NBEN_LNC025025)". Lineage: Eukaryota; Viridiplantae; Streptophyta; Magnoliopsida; Solanales; Solanaceae. The record is from RNAcentral.